Molecule: ribosomal RNA, 317 nt
Filed under: uncultured bacterium
Lineage: Bacteria
Description: bacterial SSU rRNA
Rfam family: Bacterial small subunit ribosomal RNA
Source: RNAcentral
GAUGAACGCUAGCGAUAGGCUUAACACAUGCAAGUCGAGGGGAAACGGCAUGAGAUGCUUGCAUCUUAUGGACGUCGACCGGCGUACGGGUGAGUAACGCGUAUCCAACCUGCCCGCGAGUAGGGGAUAACCCGCAGAAAUGCGGACUAAUACCCUAUAUAGUCCAAAGACGCCAUCAGAUUUGGACGGAAGAUUUAUCGCUCGCGGAUGGGGAUGCGUCUGAUUAGCUUGUUGGCGGGGUAACGGCCCACCAAGGCAUCGAUCAGUAGGGGCUCCGAGAGGAAGGUCCCCCACAUAGGAACUGAGACACGGUCCUA